This 587-nucleotide ribosomal RNA is filed under the name uncultured bacterium. Its description in RNAcentral is "partial 16S ribosomal RNA". It matches the Rfam family "Bacterial small subunit ribosomal RNA", at positions 355 to 937 of the family's 1533-position model. The record is from RNAcentral.
UGGGGAAUUUUGGACAAUGGGCGAAAGCCUGAUCCAGCAAUGCCGCGUGUGUGAAGAAGGCCUUCGGGUUGUAAAGCACUUUUGUCCGGAAAGAAAUCCUUGGCUCUAAUACAGUCGGGGGAUGACGGUACCGGAAGAAUAAGCACCGGCUAACUACGUGCCAGCAGCCGCGGUAAUACGUAGGGUGCAAGCGUUAAUCGGAAUUACUGGGCGUAAAGCGUGCGCAGGCGGUUUGCUAAGACCGAUGUGAAAUCCCCGGGCUCAACCUGGGAACUGCAGUUGGUGACUGGCAGGCUAGAGUAUGGCAGAGGGGGGUAGAAUUCCACGUGUAGCAGUGAAAUGCGUAGAGAUGUGGAGGAAUACCGAUGGCGAAGGCAGCCCCCUGGGCCAAUACUGACGCUCAUGCACGAAAGCGUGGGGAGCAAACAGGAUUAGAUACCCUGGUAGUCCACGCCCUAAAAGCGAUGUCAACUAGUUGUUGGGGAUUCAUUCCUUAGUAACGUAGCUAACGCGUGAAGUUGACCGCCUGGGGAGUACGGUCGCAAGAUUAAAACUUCAAAGGAAUUGACGGGGUCAUAGCUGUUUCC